Molecule: ribosomal RNA, 625 nt
Filed under: Lactiplantibacillus plantarum subsp. plantarum
Lineage: Bacteria; Bacillati; Bacillota; Bacilli; Lactobacillales; Lactobacillaceae
Description: bacterial SSU rRNA
Rfam family: Bacterial small subunit ribosomal RNA
Source: RNAcentral
GCAGUCGAACGAACUCUGGUAUUGAUUGGUGCUUGCAUCAUGAUUUACAUUUGAGUGAGUGGCGAACUGGUGAGUAACACGUGGGAAACCUGCCCAGAAGCGGGGGAUAACACCUGGAAACAGAUGCUAAUACCGCAUAACAACUUGGACCGCAUGGUCCGAGCUUGAAAGAUGGCUUCGGCUAUCACUUUUGGAUGGUCCCGCGGCGUAUUAGCUAGAUGGUGGGGUAACGGCUCACCAUGGCAAUGAUACGUAGCCGACCUGAGAGGGUAAUCGGCCACAUUGGGACUGAGACACGGCCCAAACUCCUACGGGAGGCAGCAGUAGGGAAUCUUCCACAAUGGACGAAAGUCUGAUGGAGCAACGCCGCGUGAGUGAAGAAGGGUUUCGGCUCGUAAAACUCUGUUGUUAAAGAAGAACAUAUCUGAGAGUAACUGUUCAGGUAUUGACGGUAUUUAACCAGAAAGCCACGGCUAACUACGUGCCAGCAGCCGCGGUAAUACGUAGGUGGCAAGCGUUGUCCGGAUUUAUUGGGCGUAAAGCGAGCGCAGGCGGUUUUUUAAGUCUGAUGUGAAAGCCUUCGGCUCAACCGAAGAAGUGCAUCGGAAACUGGGAAACUUGAGUG